CGCUCUCUCUCUCUUACCCACACCCACACCGACACCUCCUUUUCUUCUGCCUUGCAUACGGCGCGCCGCACCGCUGCAUCCCGCAUCCCUGGACGCACACAUUUUCAAAGAGACGCGUGAGCAACGCCCCACACUCAGACCACUGCCGGUGCUUCUUGGCUUUCGUGCGCCCCUCUCCGCUCAGGCUUCCAUGUCGGAGGAGCUUAUCCUGCAGUGGGCGAAGCGCGUCUCGGACGCUGAGGAGGAGCUUCAUCGAAUGGAAGAGGACAUCAACGCCGUCAAGCAGAAGCGCAAGUUGCUCAAGACAGACAUUCGCAAGUACGAAGACGUCGUGGCGAGCGAGAAGUGCGACCUUCUUACCUCGCUAGAGAGGGUGGAGGCGCAGGCGAAGGAUUUGGGUGCGCAGUGCGAGGCGACGCUAACAGAGAAGGACCGUGUGGAGGCGGAGUACAUGGCCACUCUGGACGCCUACGAGAACCUACACUUCCUUGUGCGCGAAAUCAAGGAUGCCGAGGAGCAUCUGCAAAGCCGCGACGACCUCGAGGCUUGUCUGCAGCGCGAGAGCGUCACGUGGGCGGAGGAAGAGCACGCACUGCGCCGUAAGCUUCACCAGCUUCAGCAGCAGCAAGCGCAGGCUCGCCGCGCGCAAGAAGCUGAGGUGCGCGAGCUAGAGGCCCAGCUUUCGAACGUCGAGCAACGCCAGCGCGACGAAAGGGCGGGGCGGUGCGUAGAGGUGGCUCAAGCGGCCCGCCGCGUGGUGCACAGCAGUCGUCAGCCGACGCCCGCGUCCCCCAAGCCCGUCACGUCAGCCGAGGAAGACGCCUUCGUGAGCGCCAACGCGGGCGGUGCCUUGCCCAUCAGAUCUGCGCCGCUCAAGUCGUGCUUGAAGACUCCCGUCAGCGGCAGCACAGGCAGCAACGCAGCAACUACGGCCCCCCGCCCCACCACCGCCGCCUCAGCGCCGGUAAGCCGCUGCGCCUCGCAGUCGUUAGUGUCCGACGCUGCCGCGAGCGGUGUACAGCGACAAGGAGUUGAUGGAGGUGAUCAGCCGUCGCUGCGGUUGCUGCAGGAGAUGCGUGCCUACUCGUACGGGGCACCAUGCAAGGCCGGCGCUCGCAAGCGCGAGUUCCUGGGAGACGCCACCAACAACCAGUGAUGGACCCUCUUGUUGCGGGGUUACCCCUCUAACAGAGACCGCGGAGAGGAGGGGAGCGUGAGGGGGGUGGCGUGGCGCAUCGCCCGGGUGAUGCGCACUCGCCGGAGCGCACGAGAGCGUAGGCGACACCUCGCUGCUGGAGCGCCACGUGCACAAGGCGCAAUGCGCGGCCACCGUGAUCGCCCUCCUCCCAGCCCCUCCCAGCCCCUCCCAGCCCCUCCCAGCCCCUCCCCCUCCCCUCCCCCUCCCCUCCCAGCCCCGUGGAGGCCUCUCGCAUGCCAUUCCUUUUGGCCGCCUCGAGUGCGCCUGCGCGGAGGCCUUCCCCGCCACUAUGCGGCCUACUUAGAUUGAUAGAUAGACACUCGUUCUGCAGUGGCGUUGCCCUCGCGCACGACGGAGGCGUCAUGCGUUCCUGCGAGUGUGCGCGCGUGCGUUGCCGCCGCCUUCCUUCAUCUUCCCCCGGGCGCACGUACGCAUGACAGCGACGCCUGCUCGUCUGAGCGAGGUGUGCAACAGCGGAGGUUGUGCAAGGCAAUACUUCAGCUCAGAGAAACGAAAUUUAGGCAGCGUGGUGCCGGCACACGCAGACAGAGGGUGCACCGAUGUGACCUCUGCAUGCGAGCGCAGUGGCUCUGUCGGCUUUGCAGGACUCUUGCUGAACAAGAAGCCUGCCACUGUGCGUGCAAGCAUGCGCAUAUGUGUAUGUGACGGCGCCCCUGCCGACGUACUGGUUCUCCCCUGCUGCGCAUCCGCCCUGACGGUUGUGGGCGAUCUCUGCUUGCACUGCACGUGCACGCUUGCAGAACGGCGUCUUCAUGCAAUGCCGUUACUCAUCACUGCUUCGGUGCGGCCUCGCCGUCCGCAUUUCAUCGCGCGCCGUGCCUGCGUGAGCCGCUCAGCGCAGUCGUCGCACCUCCCCGCUACCAUCGCCUCGCCUAUGCCUCCCUCUACUCUCCUUUGCUGACUACCUCGCUCUCUUCUGCGUCUACGCGCGGUGCGGCUCGUCGAUUUCGCCGCUGCUGGACUGCCUUUCGCCUCCUCCCCGCUCCUCUCUUUUUCGGUGUGGUAG
Molecule: unclassified non-coding RNA, 2225 nt
Filed under: Leishmania donovani
Lineage: Eukaryota; Euglenozoa; Kinetoplastea; Trypanosomatida; Trypanosomatidae
Description: gene:LdHU3.02.0750(CDS-product:hypothetical_prote in_conserved)
Source: RNAcentral